AUUGAACGCUGGCGGCAGGCCUAACACAUGCAAGUCGAGCGGAUGAAGGGAGCUUGCUCCUGGAUUCAGCGGCGGACGGGUGAGUAAUGCCUAGGAAUCUGCCUGGUAGUGGGGGAUAACGUCCGGAAACGGGCGCUAAUACCGCAUACGUCCUGAGGGAGAAAGUGGGGGAUCUUCGGACCUCACGCUAUCAGAUGAGCCUAGGUCGGAGUAGCUAGUUGGUGGGGUAAAGGCCUACCAAGGCGACGAUCCGUAACUGGUCUGAGAGGAUGAGCAGUCACACUGGAACUGAGACACGGUCCAGACUCCUACGGGAGGCAGCAGUGGGGAAUAUUGGACAAUGGGCGAAAGCCUGAUCCAGCCAUGCCGCGUGUGUGAAGAAGGUCUUCGGAUUGUAAAGCACUUUAAGUUGGGAGGAAGGGCAGUAAGUUAAUACCUUGCUGUUUUGACGUUACCAACAGAAUAAGCACCGGCUAACUUCGUG
Molecule: ribosomal RNA, 484 nt
Filed under: uncultured bacterium
Lineage: Bacteria
Description: partial 16S ribosomal RNA
Rfam family: Bacterial small subunit ribosomal RNA
Source: RNAcentral